RNAcentral lists this ribosomal RNA (324 nucleotides) under uncultured Ruhlandiella. RNAcentral describes it as "eukaryotic LSU rRNA". The stretch from base 1 to 102 matches the Rfam family "5.8S ribosomal RNA", at positions 53 to 154 of the family's 154-position model. Lineage: Eukaryota; Fungi; Ascomycota; Pezizomycetes; Pezizales; Pezizaceae. The record is from RNAcentral.
AUGUGAUAAGUAAUGUGAAUUGCAGAAUCUUGUGAAUCAUCGAAUCUUUGAACGCACAUUGCGCCCUAUAGUAUUCCGUAGGGCAUGCCUGUCUGAGAGUCAGCUCCCCCCACACUCAAGUCUCUUAAUUGAAGCUUGGAUUACUUUAAAGAAGUGGCUGAAACACAAUAGGCUACUCUUUAGAAAAUCAUAGGCAGUAUGGCACCUGAACCAGGCGUAAUAAGGAUAUAAAAGCGUCUCUCUUUAGGAAGGUUGUACUUGCCUUAACCCACCCAUUUUCUUCUGGGUAACCUCAGAUCAGGUAGGGAUACCCGCUGAACUUAA